This 2303-nucleotide long non-coding RNA is filed under the name Rattus norvegicus (Norway rat). RNAcentral describes it as "long non-coding RNA NONRATT026031". The record is from RNAcentral. Lineage: Eukaryota; Metazoa; Chordata; Mammalia; Rodentia; Muridae.
GCCAACCAUAUGCUUUUGUCUCUUCUUUUGAAGGCUUCUGGCUCUGCAUGUCCAGCCCCAUGCAGUCUACUAGGAGCAAGGAACCCUGAGGUGGAUGACAGGCAGCACUCUGACCAACUCUGAGGACCAGUCCCCUUGGACAGCACCAAGUCCUGCUCAUCUCUGUGCAGCUGACUUUGGUGAUCCUAAUUUUUUCCCUCUGGCUGAAACAACAGUCUUUGAGCUCAACCCCUGGGCCUAGAACUGGGCUGCAGUGUGUUCCCCUGUCCCGGCCACAUCUUAGACAAGUCUCCUGGAUCCACCCAAAGUCUCAGCAGACCCUUGCACCCUGGCAUAGUGGCAGAGUUUUUAGAUUAGGUCUUGUAACUCCAGGGUGCCAUCAGCAGCUUCUAUCCACUGUACCUUCAAAAACAACUGUGGCCUGCCCCUCAGCAGCCCACCAUUCAGGUCAAUUCCACUUCCUGCUGGUCAGCAAGGCAAGACCAUGUGAGUGUGUCGACCCUCUGUCCCAAGUGCUCUGUGAGGUCUGUGUUCUAAAGAUGGCAAGUGACUGCUGACCAGGAGGGCUGCCUGAGCAGAUCUCUCCAAGAAGCUCAGAGAACUCAAGAGAGUCAGUGUCUACCUCUACCACAGAGCACAGCAGAGACCCACUGGGUCAUGCUCCAGGGAGGCUGUCAUCAUAGAAUCCAUUGGCAACAAGAAAGCUGUGAGUGGGUGAGCUCAGGGAGGCUUUUUGGACUCCAUGUGGUGACUACAGGUCACUUUCGCUUGUUCCCACCCUGAAGUUAAGAUGGCCACAGCAUUCACGAGCAACUGAAUGUCUGAGUUCUGCUCACUGAAGUCUACUGAGGAAUCCCCAGCACCAACUCUGUACUUCAGUGAGAGACAUUGUGAAUAACCACCUGGGAACAAACAAAAUGUUCAGAACCUUCUAGAUGUCUUGAGAUGGGUCCUGGGGCAACUAAGAACACUCCAGCAAAGUCCUGGGAUUCUAAUUACAGAAAUGCAUUCAACUGCAGCCAGAGAUGUCCUACAAGUCCAAGGCACUCCGUUCCUCAGCACCUCAGCUGCCGUGUCAGGCGGGCCUUGUCCUGCAGAAGAGCUCUGACCAGCAUGGCCGCUGCUGAGCCUUACUUAGAGCAGAGAGCACCACUAGGGCCUGACAACAAGCGAGUGAGUGAGAGCUCUGAGCUGGAUUGUAUCCAUUCCUUCUGCUUCCUCCCAGCCAAGAGAAAAGGCGGAAGCCACCUCGAGAAGAGUCAGAAGUAGCCCUGGGCUGGGUCCAGGACUCUUCUGUUUGGGGAGACCAGUGGGUUAGACUUGACUAGCUGCCGCCUUCUGUUCUUGGAAGUCUGCAGCUCCAGAGCACGAAUGUGCUCCUUUCCUCCUGACCUUGGAUCCAUCAUCAAGACAAUGAUUUCCUGAGCCAAUAAGUUGGGACAUCAAGAUGCCCUGAAAAGGAAGGCAGAACAAGGGCCCUAGGAAGAAAGGCCAUGUACCCUGACUCAAGGGAAAGAUGCUCUGUGGCUCUUAGGGAAGACUCAGGGGAAUGGGUUCACCUCUGGGGUGGACCCCAGGUAUAGUGCAAACAAGGAGACUGGCCUGUGUGCCACAUUUAUCUUUAGACCAAGAGAUGGUGCCCACCUUCAGCCUACCCUUUCCAGUGCCGAGUGGGUGUUGGAUGUGGGUGUCCUGUGGAGUCGGAUGUUUGUUUUCUCCUGGUUCCUUCUCAAGGAAGACAUGUGGAUUGACCUCCUGACUCAAAUCCUGUAGGGCUGAUGUUUUCAUGUGGCAGCUCCCAGCCAGCACCUAGGUGAGGCUGUUUCCCUGCGUCUGGGCCUGCAGCCAUUUGACUUUGGACCUGCACAGGGUUCCUGGCACCUGCGUGCUGGUGGCACCCAGCUGAUCUGUCCACACCUCACCUCGGCCACAUCAUGAUCUGGUGUGUGUCCUAAUGCCUCAUCUCUAUACUGCAGUGAGUGGUGCCAUCCUCCUACAGCCACAGCCGUGGCCUGGUGUGUUGUAGCAGACGCUGUCCCCAGUCUGGUGUUUCUGUUUGACAUUUGUUAAUGCUUGCGUCCAUGUAGUACCCUGGUGCUGUGUCAGUGUUGUGCACAUUGGACCAGACAUUCUGCUUUGUUGUGCACUUGGUGACUUCCUUCAUACGUGACUCCUCUGCUCCAUGGACAGCGGCACUGAUGCUCCAUGUUGCCUUCCAGUUGCUGCCAUGGUGCUGUGAGCAGAUGCUGUUGGUGCUGCUACUGGACAUCUAUUUUCUCAUAAAAGUAAAUGUGUUUCCAACU